UCUAGCCUAACUGCCAUCAGAUGAAUUCAUCUCACCCUGCCUAGGGGUUAGCUGAGAGUUUGGUGUUAUUGAGUCACAGCUUAGAUGCUGAUAGCUGUACGGAGCUCAUUGUGUAUGCUUUUCCUCCAUGUUUGUUAGAUCCUGGUACACCUAAAGCCAAUUCAAAGACAAAGCAGCUAGCCAUCUUCGCACACCUUCUGGCCACCUUCUCAAUGCAGAAUGAAAUGAAACUGGCAUCUGGCAGCGAAUCGAGGGAGCACAAAUAAAUGAAUUUGGGCCUGCUACAUUGCUCUUGGAGUCUGCAUCAACAUGAAGUAUGAGCCACCCGCUCUCCCUGGAAGCUGUGUUCAGAUCAUGCUGUUCUAAUAUCAUCAGCUAUCUCAGUGGCUGAAGAAGGAUUCUAUUCAACAUGAUGAACAAAGAC
Alligator sinensis (Chinese alligator) is the source of this 424-nucleotide long non-coding RNA. RefSeq lists it as uncharacterized. The record is from RefSeq and is a predicted model, not a curated record. NCBI's taxonomy places the organism in Eukaryota, Metazoa, Chordata, Crocodylia, Alligatoridae. The transcript has 3 exons.